AUGCAUUGGCGAUGGGAGAAGUGUCCUCUUGCAUGGAGGGGGCAAUUCACCCGCGGCGAUUAUGGAGUACCAACGAUGAUCCUAGAAGCCGUUGCUUCCCAGGACCUUCGUAUUUGGCAUGCUUUUUUUGGAGUUGCUGGGUCAAAUAAUGAUCUGAAUGUGCUCAAUCAAUCCCCACUGUUUUUUGAUGCACUGAAAGGAGAAGCCCCUCAAGUCCAAUUUUCUGUCAAUGGGAAUGAGUAUACCACAGGUUACUACCUUGCUGAUGGUAUAUACCCAGAAUGGGCUGCCUUCAUGAAGACUAUACCACUUCCCCAAAUAGAGAAGCACAAGUUGUUUGCCCAGAAGCAAGAAGGGGCAAGGAAAGAUGUCGAGCGCGCUUUUGGGGUAUUACAGUUCCGUUUUACCAUUGUCCGUCGGCCUGCACGUCUAUGGAAGAGAAAGAGUGUUGGAAGGAUCAUGAGGGCUUGUGUGAUUCUCCACAAUAUGAUAAUCGAAGAUGAGACAGAGCAGGCAAAAAUUCAUAUUGACUUGAAUGAGAUUCCGGGGGCUUCAUUUGCUCUACCUCCCGAAGUGAAUGUUGGUGGUAAUCUAUGUUUCGCAGAUGUGUUGCGUAGAAAAGCUACUAUUCGUGCUCGUCCACAGCAUGCCCAACUUAAAAGUGAUUUAGUCGAGCAUAUCUGGCAUAAGUUUCAAAACAGCCAUCAUAAUUAA
Molecule: ribosomal RNA, 714 nt
Filed under: Triticum aestivum (bread wheat)
Lineage: Eukaryota; Viridiplantae; Streptophyta; Magnoliopsida; Poales; Poaceae
Description: partial small subunit ribosomal RNA
Source: RNAcentral